RNAcentral lists this ribosomal RNA (253 nucleotides) under uncultured Lachnospiraceae bacterium. RNAcentral describes it as "partial 16S ribosomal RNA". It matches the Rfam family "Bacterial small subunit ribosomal RNA", at positions 524 to 776 of the family's 1533-position model. The record is from RNAcentral. Lineage: Bacteria; Bacillati; Bacillota; Clostridia; Lachnospirales; Lachnospiraceae.
UACGUAGGGGGCAAGCGUUAUCCGGAUUUACUGGGUGUAAAGGGAGAGUAGGUGGCAGAGCAAGUCCGAAGUGAAAACCCAAAGCUCAACUAUGGGAAUGCUUUAGAAACUGCUCAGCUAGAGUGCAGGAGAGGUAAGUGGAAUUCCUAGUGUAGCGGUGAAAUGCGUAGAGAUUAGGAAGAACACCAGUGGCGAAGGCGACUUACUGGACUGUAACUGACGCUGAGGCAUGAGAGCAUGGGGAGCAAACAGG